Molecule: ribosomal RNA, 407 nt
Filed under: uncultured eukaryote
Lineage: Eukaryota
Description: partial 18S ribosomal RNA
Rfam family: Eukaryotic small subunit ribosomal RNA
Source: RNAcentral
CAAUAGCGUAUAUUAAUGUUGUUGCAGUUAAAAAGCUCGUAGUUGGAUUUCGAAUGGGAGCGGUGGGUCGGGUCCGCAAGGGCUCGUUACCUGUUUCGUCUCCGGUUCUUUUUCGGGAUUUGUUUCUGGCGUGGCUGGCAUUGAGUUGUCGGUGGCGUCGGGCCCGUCGUUUACUGUGAACAAAUUAGAGUGUUCAAAGCAAGGUGUGUCUUGAAUACAUUAGCAUGGAAUAAUGAGAUAGGACUUUGGUGGUUUCGGUGAAAGCCGGAUAUUUUGUUGGUUUGCACGCCAAAGUAAUGAUUANUAGGAGCAGUUGGGGGUAUUCGUAUUCAAUUGUCAGAGGUGAAAUUCUUGGAUUUCUAGAAGACGAACUACUGCGAANGNAUUUACNAGGGAUGUUUNCAUUA